RNAcentral lists this ribosomal RNA (479 nucleotides) under uncultured bacterium. Its description in RNAcentral is "partial 16S ribosomal RNA". It matches the Rfam family "Bacterial small subunit ribosomal RNA", at positions 28 to 507 of the family's 1533-position model. The record is from RNAcentral.
GAUGAACGCUAGCGGGAGGCCUAACACAUGCAAGCCGAGCGGUAGAGAUUCUUCGGAAUCUUGAGAGCGGCGUACGGGUGCGGAACACGUGUGCAACCUGCCUUUAUCAGGGGGAUAGCCUUUCGAAAGGAAGAUUAAUACCCCAUAAUAUAUUUGAUGGCAUCAUUAGAUAUUGAAAGCUUUGGCGGAUAGAGAUGGGCACGCGCAAGAUUAGAUAGUUGGUGAGGUAACGGCUCACCAAGUCGAUGAUCUUUAGGGGGCCUGAGAGGGUGAUCCCCCACACUGGUACUGAGACACGGACCAGACUCCUACGGGAGGCAGCAGUGAGGAAUAUUGGACAAUGGGUUAGCGCCUGAUCCAGCCAUCCCGCGUGAAGGACGACAGCCCUAUGGGUUGUAAACUUCUUUUGUACAGGGAUAAACCUACUCUCGUGAGAGUAGCUGAAGGUACUGUACGAAUAAGCACCGGCUAACUCCGUG